CCUGAAAGGCACUCCUCUCAGCCAGCAAUGAUGGCAGAAGUGCUGUAAAAGGGCCUGAAGGCCAAGUCACAUGUUUAGGUCUCCCCAGCUCAUCCUCCUAUGUUGACUGAAAUGUUAUCCACUUUCUUUUCUCUAAGAAUAACUUGGAGCAUUUCUACAGACUCCAAUGCUCAAGAGAUUCUUUAUAUCCAGAAAUUUUAUGAGAUGAAAGCAUCUCAUUCAAAUUACAAAGCCUUCUUGGAAGAGCAAGUGGCCUCUUGGAGACUACAUUAUUCAUUCUCAAGGGGACUAGGUAAGGACAUUUUUCAUUCUGCAGCUAAAGUAUUCCCUACUGACUAUCCUGUCUACACAAAAAUA
Molecule: long non-coding RNA, 357 nt
Filed under: Cyanistes caeruleus (blue tit)
Lineage: Eukaryota; Metazoa; Chordata; Aves; Passeriformes; Paridae
Description: lncRNA (ENSCCEG00000013812.1)
Source: RNAcentral